RNAcentral lists this ribosomal RNA (237 nucleotides) under uncultured bacterium. RNAcentral's name for it is "partial 16S ribosomal RNA". It matches the Rfam family "Bacterial small subunit ribosomal RNA", at positions 69 to 334 of the family's 1533-position model. The record is from RNAcentral.
CCGUAGCAAUACGGAGUGGCAGACGGGUGAGUAACACGUGGGAACGUACCCUUUGGUUCGGAACAACACAGGGAAACUUGUGCUAAUACCGGAUAAGCCCUUACGGGGAAAGAUUUAUCGCCAAAGGAUCGGCCCGCGUCUGAUUAGCUUGUUGGUGAGGUAACGGCUCACCAAGGCUACGAUCAGUAGCUGGUCUGAGAGGAUGAUCAGCCACACUGGGACUGAGACACGGCCCAG